This 197-nucleotide unclassified non-coding RNA is filed under the name uncultured Ascomycota. Its description in RNAcentral is "sequence contains ITS1". The record is from RNAcentral. Lineage: Eukaryota; Fungi; Ascomycota.
CCCAUUCCGGUCUUCGAGACCGCGUCUUCAACUCGCCGCAGGACCCCACGAAAGUGGCCGGAAGUGCGGACGAGGCGAAGUAAACCCUUGACUAUGAGCACCUUUUGUUCCCUCGGCGGGCUCGCGCCCGUCGCUGGGCCCAUCCAAACCCCUUUACAGUAGCCGUACACCUCUGAUCGUGGGCACUUGAAUCUUUA